RNAcentral lists this ribosomal RNA (506 nucleotides) under uncultured bacterium. Its description in RNAcentral is "partial 16S ribosomal RNA". It matches the Rfam family "Bacterial small subunit ribosomal RNA", at positions 29 to 523 of the family's 1533-position model. The record is from RNAcentral.
AGUGAACGCUGGCGGUAGGCCUAACACAUGCAAGUCGAACGGCAACACAGGAGAGCUUGCUCUCUGGGUGGCGAGUGGCGGACGGGUGAGGAAUACAUCGGAAUCUACACUGUCGUGGGGGAUAACGUAGGGAAACUUACGCUAAUACCGCAUACGACCUACGGGUGAAAGCAGGGGACCUUCGGGCCUUGCGCGAUUGAAUGAGCCGAUGUCGGAUUAGCUAGUUGGCGGGGUAAAGGCCCACCAAGGCGACGAUCCGUAGCUGGUAUGAGAGGAUGAUCAGCCACACUGGAACUGGGACACGGUCCAGACUCCUACGGGAGGCAGCAGUGGGGAAUAUUGGACAGUGGGCGCAAGCCUGAUCCAGCCAUACCGCGUGGGUGAAGAAGGCCUUCGGGUUGUAAAGCCCUUUUGUUGGGAAAGAAAUCCAGCUGGCUAAUACCCGGUUGGGAUGACGGUACCCAAAGAAUAAGCACCGGCUAACUUCGUGCCAGCCGCCGCCGUAA